GACAACUAGGAUGUUGGCUUAGAAGCAGCCACCAUUUAAAGAGUGCGUAAUAGCUCACUAGUCGAGUGACUCUGCGCCGAAAAUGUACCGGGGCUAAAUACACCACCGAAGCUGCGGAUUGAUACCAAUGGUAUCAGUGGUAGGGGAGCGUUCUAAGGACAGUGAAGUCAGACCGGAAGGACUGGUGGAGUGCUUAGAAGUGAGAAUGCCGGUAUGAGUAGCGAAAGACGGGUGAGAAUCCCGUCCACCGAAUGCCUAAGGUUUCCUGAGGAAGGCUCGUCCGCUCAGGGUUAGUCAGGACCUAAGCCGAGGCCGACAGGCGUAGGCGAUGGACAACAGGUUGAUAUUCCUGUACCACCUCUUUAUCGUUUGAGCAAUGGAGGGACGCAGAAGGAUAGAAGAAGCGUGCGAUUGGUUGUGCACGUCCAAGCAGUUAGGCUGAUAAGUAGGCAAAUCCGCUUAUCGUAAAGGCUGAGCUGUGAUGGGGAAGCUCCUUAUGGAGCGAAGUCUUUGAUUCCCCGCUGCCAAGAAAAGCUUCUAGCGAGAUAAAAGGUGCCUGUACCGCAAACCGACACAGGUAGGCGAGGAGAGAAUCCUAAGGUGUGCGAGAGAACUCUGGUUAAGGAACUCGGCAAAAUGACCCCGUAACUUCGGGAGAAGGGGUGCUUUCUUAACGGAAAGCCGCAGUGAAUAGGCCCAAGCGACUGUUUAGCAAAAACACAGCUCUCUGCGAAGCCGUAAGGCGAAGUAUAGGGGGUGACACCUGCCCGGUGCUGGAAGGUUAAGGAGAGGGGUUAGCGUAAGCGAAGCUCUGAACUGAAGCCCCAGUAAACGGCGGCCGUAACUAUAACGGUCCUAAGGUAGCGAAAUUCCUUGUCGGGUAAGUUCCGACCCGCACGAAAGGCGUAACGAUUUGGGCACUGUCUCAACGAGAGACUCGGUGAAAUCAUAGUACCUGUGAAGAUGCAGGUUACCCGCGACAGGACGGAAAGACCCCGUGGAGCUUUACUGUAGCCUGAUAUUGAAUUUUGGUACAGUUUGUACAGGAUAGGCGGGAGCCUUUGAAACCGGAGCGCUAGCUUCGGUGGAGGCGCUGGUGGGAUACCGCCCUGACUGUAUUGAAAUUCUAACCUACGGGUCUUAUCGACCCGGGAGACAGUGUCAGGUGGGCAGUUUGACUGGGGCGGUCGCCUCCUAAAGUGUAACGGAGGCGCCCAAAGGUUCCCUCAGAAUGGUUGGAAAUCAUUCGUAGAGUGCAAAGGCAUAAGGGAGCUUGACUGCGAGACCUACAAGUCGAGCAGGGACGAAAGUCGGGCUUAGUGAUCCGGUGGUUCCGCAUGGAAGGGCCAUCGCUCAACGGAUAAAAGCUACCCCGGGGAUAACAGGCUUAUCUCCCCCAAGAGUCCACAUCGACGGGGAGGUUUGGCACCUCGAUGUCGGCUCAUCGCAUCCUGGGGCUGUAGUCGGUCCCAAGGGUUGGGCUGUUCGCCCAUUAAAGCGGUACGCGAGCUGGGUUCAGAACGUCGUGAGACAGUUCGGUCCCUAUCCGUCGUGGGCGUAGGAAAUUUGAGAGGAGCUGUCCUUAGUACGAGAGGACCGGGAUGGACAUACCUCUGGUGUACCAGUUGUCGUGCCAACGGCAUAGCUGGGUAGCUAUGUAUGGACGGGAUAAGUGCUGAAAGCAUCUAAGCAUGAAGCCCCCCUCAAGAUGAGAUUUCCCAUAGCGUAAGCUAGU
RNAcentral lists this ribosomal RNA (1735 nucleotides) under synthetic metagenome. Its description in RNAcentral is "bacterial LSU rRNA". It matches the Rfam family "Bacterial large subunit ribosomal RNA", at positions 1088 to 2829 of the family's 2925-position model. The record is from RNAcentral.